CCUACGGGAGGCAGCAGUGGGGGAUAUUGCACAAUGGGGGGAACCCUGAUGCAGCGACGCCGCGUGGGUGAAGGAGUAUUUCGGUAUGUAAAGCCCUAUCGGCAGGGAAGAAAUUGGACGGUACCUGACUAAGAAGCCCCGGCUAACUACGUGCCAGCAGCCGCGGUAAUACGUAGGGGGCAAGCGUUAUCCGGAUUCACUGGGUGUAAAGGGAGCGUAGACGGCCAUGCAAGCCAGGGGGGAAAGCCCGGGGCCCAACCCCGGGACUGCCCGUGGAACUGCAUGGCUGGAGUGCGGGAGGGGCAGGCGGAAUUCCUGGUGUAGCGGUGAAAUGCGUAGAUAUCAGGAGGAACACCGGCGGCGAAGGCGGCCUGCUGGACCGCGACUGACGUUGAGGCUCGAAAGCGUGGGGAGCGAACAGGAUUAGAUACCCGAGUAGUC
Molecule: ribosomal RNA, 441 nt
Filed under: uncultured bacterium
Lineage: Bacteria
Description: partial 16S ribosomal RNA
Rfam family: Bacterial small subunit ribosomal RNA
Source: RNAcentral